RNAcentral lists this ribosomal RNA (460 nucleotides) under uncultured bacterium. RNAcentral's name for it is "partial 16S ribosomal RNA". It matches the Rfam family "Bacterial small subunit ribosomal RNA", at positions 338 to 795 of the family's 1533-position model. The record is from RNAcentral.
CCUACGGGAGGCAGCAGUGAGGAAUAUUGGUCAAUGGGCGGGAGCCUGAACCAGCCAAGUCGCGUGAGGGAAGACGGUCCUAUGGAUUGUAAACCUCUUUAGGCGGGGAGCAAUGCCGGGCACGCGUGCCCGGAGGGAGAGUACCCGCCGAAUAAGCAUCGGCUAACUCCGUCCCAGCAGCCGCGGUAAUACGGGGGAUGCGAGCGUUAGCCGGAUUUAUUGGGUUAAAAGGGUGCGUAGGCGGAUUUUUAAGUCAGCGGUAAAAUGUCCGGGCUCAACCCGGGCCGGCCGUUGAAACUGGGGAUCUUGAGUGGGGGAGAAGUAUGCGGAAUGUGUGGUGUAGCGGUGAAAUGCAUAGAUAUCACGCAGAACUCCGAUGGCGAAGGCAGCAUGCCGGCGCCCGACUGACGCUGAGGCACGAAAGCGUGGGGAUCGAACAGGAUUAGAUACCCUGGUAGUC